AACGAACGCUGGCGGCAUGCCUAACACAUGCAAGUCGAACGAACCCUUCGGGCUGAGUGGCGCACGGGUGCGUAACACGUGGGAACCUGCCCUUAGGUUCGGAAUAACAGUUAGAAAUGACUGCUAAUACCGGAUAAUGUCUUCGGACCAAAGAUUUAUCGCCUUUGGAUGGGCCCGCGUAGGAUUAGCUAGUUGGUGAGGUAAAGGCUCACCAAGGCGACGAUCCUUAGCUGGUCUUAGAGGAUGAUCAGCCACAGUGGGACUGAGACACGGCCCAGACUCCUACGGGAGGCAGCAGUGGGGAAUAUUGGACAAUAGGCGAAAGCCUGAUCCAGCAAUGCCGCGUGAGUGAUGAAGGCCUUAGGGUUGUAAAGCUCUUUUACCUGGGAUGAUAAUGACAGUACCAGGAGAAUAAGCCCCGGCUAACUCCGUGCCAGCAGCCGCAGUAA
This 449-nucleotide ribosomal RNA is filed under the name uncultured bacterium. Its description in RNAcentral is "partial 16S ribosomal RNA". It matches the Rfam family "Bacterial small subunit ribosomal RNA", at positions 29 to 523 of the family's 1533-position model. The record is from RNAcentral.